UACAGAGGGUGCAAGCGUUGUUCGGAUUCAUUGGGCGUAAAGGGUGUGUAGGUGGCGCGCUAAGUCGGGUGUGAAAUUUCGGAGCUUAACUCCGAAACUGCAUUCGAUACUGGCGUGCUUGAGGACUGGAGAGGAGACUGGAAUUUACGGUGUAGCAGUGAAAUGCGUAGAUAUCGUAAGGAAGACCAGUGGCGAAGGCGGGUCUCUGGACAGUUCCUGACACUGAGACACGAAGGCCAGGGGAGCAAACGGG
This 253-nucleotide ribosomal RNA is filed under the name uncultured bacterium. RNAcentral's name for it is "partial 16S ribosomal RNA". It matches the Rfam family "Bacterial small subunit ribosomal RNA", at positions 524 to 776 of the family's 1533-position model. The record is from RNAcentral.